RNAcentral lists this ribosomal RNA (412 nucleotides) under uncultured bacterium. RNAcentral describes it as "bacterial SSU rRNA". It matches the Rfam family "Bacterial small subunit ribosomal RNA", at positions 30 to 441 of the family's 1533-position model. The record is from RNAcentral.
AUUGAACGCUGGCGGCAUGCCUUACACAUGCAAGUCGAACGGCAGCACGGGAGCAAUCCUGGUGGCGAGUGGCGAACGGGUGAGUAAUAUAUCGGAACGUGCCCAGUCGUGGGGAUAACGUAGCGAAAGCUACGCUAAUACCGCAUACGAUCUAUGGAUGGAAAGCGGGGGAUCGCAAGACCUCGCGCGAUUGGAGCGGCCGAUAUCAGAUUAGGUAGUUGGUGAGGUAAAGGCUCACCAAGCCGACGAUCUGUAGCUGGUCUGAGAGGACGACCAGCCACACUGGGACUGAGACACGGCCCAGACUCUACGGAGGCAGCAGUGGGAAUUUUGGACAAUGGGCGCAAGCCUGAUCCAGCAAUGCCGCGUGCAGGAUGAAGGCCUUACGGGUUUCGGUUAAACGUUUACGGUA